This 484-nucleotide ribosomal RNA is filed under the name uncultured bacterium. RNAcentral describes it as "partial 16S ribosomal RNA". It matches the Rfam family "Bacterial small subunit ribosomal RNA", at positions 30 to 507 of the family's 1533-position model. The record is from RNAcentral.
AUUGAACGCUGGCGGAAUGCUUUACACAUGCAAGUCGAACGGCAGCACGGGGGCAGCCCUGGUGGCGAGUGGUGAACGGGUGAGUAAUACAUCGGAACGUGCCCGGUCGUGGGGGAUAACGUAGCGAAAGUUACGCUAAUACCGCAUACGAUCUGAGGAUGAAAGCGGGGGACCUUCGGGCCUCGCGCGAUCGGAGCGGCCGAUGUCAGAUUAGGUAGUUGGUGGGGUAAAGGCCUACCAAGCCGACGAUCUGUAGCUGGUCUGAGAGGACGACCAGCCACACUGGGACUGAGACACGGCCCAGACUCCUACGGGAGGCAGCAGUGGGGAAUUUUGGACAAUGGGCGCAAGCCUGAUCCAGCCAUUCCGCGUGCAGGACGAAGGCCUUCGGGUUGUAAACUGCUUUUGUACGGAACGAAAAGGCUCUGGCUAAUACCUGGGGCUCAUGACGGUACCGUAAGAAUAAGCACCGGCUAACUACGUG